CUCAGCAAGACCCAGGACAAAUUAAGCCUGCGGCACAGGAGGCAGGAGAGACCUCUGAGAUGUUCCCUCUGUUGAUCCAGCAUUUUACAACUGAUAAGAUUUUUAUUGUCGUAUUUUGUUUUAACAAGUGCUAGGCUCCCUGAGCUGAAAACAACUUCAGACUGAGCAAUAGUUAGUUCAAGAACUUCAAGCCACAGAUACAGAUAUCUGCUCAACAUAGGCUGAAGCUGAAACCCUGGGAUCUAGUUUCAGCAGAAACAGGUGUUGCAGGGCUACGUAGAAUUGGUGUGGCAGGCUCACUACAUGCAGGAGGUUGCAGAAUCAAGCUGCUUACUUACUACACUGCUGCCUUUCCCUCAGAAGCCCAACCAGGAGUAUGGUUUGAAAGUAUGGUCUCUGUAAGAUUAAGAAUUCCAAGCAGCAAAGGAAAAGGCAGCUGUACUCAGGAUCUGGAAAAUGCAGCUGGCAUCUUUAGUUUUUCACAGGUUAUCUCUGGACCUACAUUCACAGCGAUCGAUGUCCUAGACCUGAUUUUCAAACUGGCUGUGGACAUAGAAAAAACAAGAAACACCACCAGUCCUGAACAGACUAUCGUCUCCUUCAGGCUAAGAUCAGAAUCCACCCAAGUCUCCUGGCAAGACAGAGCAGCCCUAUUAACAAGAAGUUCCUGGAUUCAGUCAAAUUCUAAAACAUCCUUGAAUAUUACUUCAAUUCAUCAAAAGGCCGUAAAAAAGACGACCAAGUAGGUCAUUAUGACCAUUCAGUGUUAGUGUCAUCAUUAACCACAACAGCUGAUAUUCUGGCAUUGAAACAUUUGCUCCUUCCUCAAAGUUCCCAAGGGUUUCUAUUGUUUUCUGAUUAUCUCUGACCAAAAAAAGUACAAAGGAAGACAAUGCAUCAGUGACCAAAAACAAACAGAUAUCAACAUGUCCCAGUACAAGGAAUACAAACUUAUGUCCUGGCUAUUGAAGAAACAGAGAAAUCCCACCUUUCUUCCACCACAGCAGCUGCUAAAUCACGUUCCAUUAAACUAUCACAGAUUGUGAAUCCUCCUGUUAACUGAGUACUUCAGCUACUCCCACUGAGACGUAUUAUCAGAGUCCUUCUUGGAGAAAGUAAUCCACAUCAAAUAUUGACUCUUGGAGCCCUAGGAAGCAUACAGCAGGCAUAGGCCUGACGACAGGAUACCCUCUCACUUUGAAUUUUCCCAUUCUUGGCCUAAAGUUGCAACAGGCAGUGAAAAAGUCAACUACUUCCAUCCAAACUCCCUCAUGCCUCUCAAAAAGCAAUGACAGUAAGCAUUUGCAUAUCUGCUUAAAAUGGAUGUACAUAGUAGCAAUUUGCCAAUUUAAAUAUCCUGAUUAGUCAUCUUAAAACAGAAGUCAUUAGCAAAAUACUGUUUGGCUAAUUUCAGAGUAGCAGCCGUGUUAGUCUGUAUCCGCAAAAAGAACAGGAGUACUUGUGGCACCUUAGAGACAAUCAGAUUUAUUUGAGCAUCAGCUUCCGUGGGCUAAAGUCCACUUGACUGUAGCCCACGAAAGCUGAUGCGCAAAUAAAUCUGGUCAUCUCUAAGGUGCCACAAGUACUCCUGUUCUUUUUGUUUGGCUAAUGGCAUUAAACAAAGAUUAGUAUACUGAGUGUAUACUACAUAGAAAGCUGAAUUGGCCAUUAAAGCCUUGCAUUCUGUAAUAUUAAGAUUUAAAAAGAUUUGUGAGGUAAAUUAUUUAUGUAUCAGAAAGAACACAACAAAAAUAUUCAUAUAAAUGAGACCUGUUUACAUUUUCAGUGUUUAGCAUUAAGGAUUAUUACUACAAGCUUAAUGUAUAAUUUCUAUUGAACUUCUGAUGCAGAAGUCCCAGGUACAAGAUUUUAGGAGAGGAGUGACUGGCAACAAGUCUGGCAGACACACUUAGAAUAAAGUUUUCAUGGACAAUAGACUUUGAGAAAUCCUAUCAUGGUGGAAAGGUGACGUAAGGAUGGAUUUGUCUAAUGGUGCCUUGUCCUCACCAUCUUGCAUUGUUCAAGUACGGCAAAGUUUUGAGACAGCCUUUCAGAACAGUGGUUUCAUCCCAGUAAGAUAAAAGAUGUUGAGGUACUGUGACUAGCAAAAAUUGUGCCAUAUUAAUCAUUACACAUUCCUGCAUGAGAAGUUAAACAACUGAAAAUCUGAACUGACAUUAUUAAGGGUGAAAUCAAAUGGAAAUGGUGAUGGGAGUAGAUUUUAUUUCAUAUAUUUUACACCAUUUUAUUCAGUUGUGGAUGGAAAACACAGCAUAGCUACAAAACCAAGAGUAAACUUAAAAAAAAAAAAAAAAAAGUAACAGCAUCAGCUGUUGGCUAUCAGACUAUCCAUUAAUAAUCUUGGCACAUGUCCUGUAGCAUUCUGAAACCCCACUGAAGCACAGUCCACGCUGUUAUAGGCUAAUGAAAACUAGCACAAUAUGUUUAUAAGUAUAAAGACAGACAAACUUUGUUCCCUAUUGUUUAAUAAAUAUACAUAUAAUUACACACACAAGAAAUCUAUGUUAAAAGAAUGUAAUUAAGAUUGUAAAGUCAAGCACUCAAAAGUUAGGAAAUGCUAGAAUUAAGGUUGCCUGUGCUACUUAAUUUGGCCCUAAUUAAAAAACUUGGCAUUAUGAUAUGACCACAUACUAUUUUUUCCCAUAGGACUUCAGGUCCCAGCCUAUGCCCCUCUACAGAUUUUGUUCUCUUCUUCAUUUGAAUCAUGCAGCUUCCUCCUCCAUGUUACCGGAGCCCAGGAGAGGUUAAACUGUUGCCAAUUACAUUUGUACAAUAAGAGCACAGGAAGCACUGUUGAGUGCUUACCUAUGAGCUAAUUUUCAAUAUUUAUUAUAUGGCAUUCUCAAGCAGUUAGUAUACAAGACAAAACUGUUUUUAUCAAAAGUAGUAAGGCACUUUAUUAAAGGGAGAUGCACUUGCUCAAACUGUGAGUCUUUCUUUAAUGAGCUUAGUCAAUGUUAUUGCCCCCUUUCCUCUUUCUUUGACCUGACUUGGUGCCAAGUGGUUUCUGCUAAAUAUUUUCAGGCAAAUUUAGGUUCCUGUUUAUAAAGCAGAUGGUGAAUGAAAAGACCAUUAGCCUGGGUUUUUGAUGAUAGCGUUUUUGUUCUUCUGAGAAUGAAGGGAAAAAAAAAUCAGUGAAUGAAGCUGUAAAGACAACCAAGUUACAAGAGGUACUAUAUCUUGUUAUGAAUAAGCAUGAAAGUGCUAAGAAGAUUGUGUAUUCAUCUUAAUCACCACUGUGGAGAACUUUAAACAUUUCAAAUAUUAGUUUUAGUGACUGUGACAAAACAGCUAACAAUAUAUGAAAGCUCAGUUUGUACAAUCUUAAAAAUAAUGGCCAAAUUCUCUGCUAUAGUGUAGCUGGUUUACAGUACUCUGGGGGCGUAAUCUGGGCUGAGAGCAAAUUUAGCCAAUCAUCUAGAGAAGACCACCUUAGUACAAGGGUGAUACUCCAGUGACACAGAUGCGAUGUAUGGGCACUUAUGUCACACACCCCUCCCUGCAAUCAGUGCACUGUGGAAAAGUAGGCAUGGCAAAAAGAUAGGGGACCUGACUACUAUGCAUCUGAACCACACCAGCCCUUGGCUGUGCUUUGACUUGCAUUUAACUUGCCUUUAUAACCUAGCAUACGUUAGAACUGCCUUCCAGAUGGCCCUGUGCAGAGCAGCAUCAGGGUUGGGAAACUGCAAAUGUGAGCUUUUAAACAACCUUUGUACCUACCUCUACCUGUACUUUAUAUCAGCUGAAGCUUGCUCAUUGUCUUUGUCUGUCCAGGUUAAACGAAAUACCUGAAAAUAUGUUUUCCCUUUUAAGGUGGUUUUGAACCUUCUGGGGCAAAUUCUGUCUAUAUUUAGACCUGCAGAAUUCAUGAUUUAAAGGGGAACAGAAUUUAGCUCUGUGUUUUCAGGAAUGUCCAGAGGAGCUAAAAUUGUAUACUAUCAAAAACAUCAAAAGGCAUGUUUUGUUUUGUUUUUUAAAAAUUGUAAGCCUAAAAUUUACAUUUACGCAUUCAGGUACACUGUCCUGCUCCCACACAAGAAUUUACUGUGUAUAUUCAAAUAGGCUGUAAAUCCACACUAACAUUAAAAAGCCCACCGAAGAGUAGGUGCAUCGAUGAUUCUUAAAAAGUAAUCUGUUUGUGAAGUUUUCCAAAUGGCUAACUUUACAUGACCAAAUAAAAUAAAAAUAAAACAUAAAUAAAUAAAAGUCACAAUAUAAGCCUAUAUAUCACUGAAUAAAACACAACCAGAAUAGACUGAUAUCCCAUAAUGGCUGCUGAAGUGUCAAGUAUGAAUUAUUAAAAUUGAUUGUUAGAAGCUCAGAAGACAAGAUCCCACAUGGACAAGCCGACCCAUGAUACAGUAACAAGUUCAAUUUGGACUUCACUGCUGAACAAGUUUUAGAUGAAUUUAAGAAAAAUUAAUGUACUGAUCUCUCUUGAAGAUCAAACACACAGGUGUCACACUAUAAAUGUAAUGGCAAAAUACCAUCCUAUAUUACUUUUCAAGCACAGGUGAAAUGAACUCAACAUGAACUUAU
Molecule: long non-coding RNA, 4560 nt
Organism: Gopherus flavomarginatus (Mexican gopher tortoise)
Lineage: Eukaryota; Metazoa; Chordata; Testudines; Testudinidae
Exons: 3
Source: RefSeq, a predicted model, not a curated record